This 516-nucleotide ribosomal RNA is filed under the name uncultured bacterium. Its description in RNAcentral is "bacterial SSU rRNA". It matches the Rfam family "Bacterial small subunit ribosomal RNA", at positions 342 to 851 of the family's 1533-position model. The record is from RNAcentral.
CGGGAGGCAGCAGUGGGGAAUUUUGGACAAUGGGGGAAACCGUGAUCCAGCCAUCCCGCGUGUGCGAUGAAGGCCUUCGGGUUGUAAAGCACUUUUGUCAGGAAAGAAAUCGCCCGGGAUAAUACCUCGGGUGGAUGACGGUACCUGAAGAAUAAGCACCGGCUAACUUCGUGCCAGCAGCCGCGGUAAUACGUAGGGUGCAAGCGUUUAUCGGAAUUUCUGGGCGUAAAGCGUGCGCAGGCGGUUCGGAAAGAAAGAUGUGAAAUCCCAGGGCUUAACCUUGGAACUGCAUUUUUAACUGCCGGGCUAGAGUGUGUCAGAGGGGGGUGGAAUUCCGCGUGUAGCAGUGAAAUGCGUAGAUAUGCGGAGGAACACCGAUGGCGAAGGCAGCCCCCUGGGAUAACACUGACGCUCAUGCACGAAAGCGUGGGGAGCAAACAGGAUUAGAUACCCUGGUAGUCCACGCCCUAAACGAUGUCAACUAGCUGUUGGGGCCUUCGGGCCUUAGUAGCGCAG